This 468-nucleotide ribosomal RNA is filed under the name uncultured bacterium. RNAcentral describes it as "partial 16S ribosomal RNA". It matches the Rfam family "Bacterial small subunit ribosomal RNA", at positions 28 to 507 of the family's 1533-position model. The record is from RNAcentral.
GACGAACGCUGGCGGCGUGCUUAACACAUGCAAGUCGAACGGAAAGGCCCUGCUUUUGUGGGGUGCUCGAGUGGCGAACGGGUGAGUAACACGUGAGUAACCUGCCCUUGACUUUGGGAUAACUUCAGGAAACUGGGGCUAAUACCGGAUAGGAGCUCCUGCUGCAUGGUGGGGGUUGGAAAGUUUCGGCGGUUGGGGAUGGACUCGCGGCUUAUCAGCUUGUUGGUGGGGUAGUGGCUUACCAAGGCUUUGACGGGUAGCCGGCCUGAGAGGGUGACCGGCGACAAUGGGACUGAGAUACGGCCCAGACUCCAACGGGAGGCAGCAGGGGGGAAUAUUGCACAAUGAGCGGAAGCCUGAGACAGCAACGCCGCGUGCGGGAUGACGGCCUUCGAGUAGUGAACCGCUUUCGCCUGUGACGAAGCGUGAGUGACGGUAAUGGGUAAAGAAGCACCGGCUAACUACGUG